This 403-nucleotide ribosomal RNA is filed under the name bacterium. RNAcentral describes it as "partial 16S ribosomal RNA". It matches the Rfam family "Bacterial small subunit ribosomal RNA", at positions 355 to 776 of the family's 1533-position model. RNAcentral also lists the same sequence under 1 other name. The record is from RNAcentral.
UGGGGAAUAUUACACAAUGGGGGAAACCCUGAUGCAGCGACGCCGCGUGAACGAAGAAGGUAUUCGUAUCGUAAAGUUCUGUCCUAUGGGAAGAUAAUGACAGUACCAUAGAAGAAAGCUCCGGCUAAAUACGUGCCAGCAGCCGCGGUAAUACGUAUGGAGCGAGCGUUGUCCGGAAUUAUUGGGCGUAAAGGGUACGCAGGCGGUUUAAUAAGUCGAAUGUUAAAGAUCGGGGCUCAACCCCGUAAAGCAUUGGAAACUGAUAAACUUGAGUAGUGGAGAGGAAAGUGGAAUUCCUAGUGUAGUGGUGAAAUACGUAGAUAUUAGGAGGAAUACCAGUAGCGAAGGCGACUUUCUGGACACAAACUGACGCUGAGGUACGAAAGCGUGGGGAGCAAACAGG